UACGUAGGGUGCAAGCGUUGCCCGGAAUUAUUGGGCGUAAAGAGCUCGUAGGCGGCUUGUCGCGUCGGCUGUGAAAACCUGGGGCUCAACCCCGGGCCUGCAGCCGAUACGGGCAAGCUAGAAUUCGGUAGGGGAGACUGGAAUUCCUGGUGUAGCGGUGAAAUGCGCAGAUAUCAGGAGGAACACCGGUGGCGAAGGCGGGUCUCUGGGCCGAUAUUGACGCUGAGGAGCGAAAGCGUGGGGAGCGAACAGG
This 253-nucleotide ribosomal RNA is filed under the name uncultured bacterium. RNAcentral describes it as "partial 16S ribosomal RNA". It matches the Rfam family "Bacterial small subunit ribosomal RNA", at positions 524 to 776 of the family's 1533-position model. The record is from RNAcentral.